AAGUAAUAAUUAUGUUUAUAGUACAAUUGUGUCAAGUGAAAACCGAAGAAACGGCACCAUCAUUUUCCCCCAGAUGUUGGGAAAGUUACCUCUGUGAAGCAUUUCCUGCACGUCUAAGACGGGAUUAAUAAUAAUUAUUCUGAAGUAGUUGUUAAGAGAUUAAAAUAUAUUGAAAUACGAGUACGAAAUUCAAGUGCGUCGUUUAAUUCGAUACUAUUAAAAAGUACAAACUUUCUGUGCUGAAACAUUAAAUGCAUAGACUUAUAUUGCCCUAGUUAUAUAAAAGUCACACG
Cinara cedri is the source of this 293-nucleotide non-coding RNA. NCBI's taxonomy places the organism in Eukaryota, Metazoa, Arthropoda, Insecta, Hemiptera, Aphididae. The record is from the annotation of a GenBank genome assembly.